ACGGGAGGCAGCAGUGGGGAAUAUUGCACAAUGGGGGAAACCCUGAUGCAGCGACGCCGCGUGAGCGAAGAAGUAUUUCGGUAUGUAAAGCUCUAUCAGCAGGGAAGAAAAUGACGGUACCUGACUAAGAAGCUCCGGCUAAAUACGUGCCAGCAGCCGCGGUAAUACGUAUGGAGCAAGCGUUAUCCGGAUUUACUGGGUGUAAAGGGAGCGCAGGCGGUUUUGCAAGUCUGAAGUGAAAGCCCGUGGCUCAACCGCGGGACUGCUUUGGAAACUGUAAAACUAGAGUAUCGGAGAGGCAAGUGGAAUUCCUAGUGUAGCGGUGAAAUGCGUAGAUAUUAGGAGGAACACCAGUGGCGAAGGCGGCUUACUGGACGAUAACUGACGUUGAGGCUCGAAAGCGUGGGGAGCAAACAGGAUUAGAUACCCUGGUA
RNAcentral lists this ribosomal RNA (434 nucleotides) under uncultured Clostridium sp. RNAcentral's name for it is "partial 16S ribosomal RNA". It matches the Rfam family "Bacterial small subunit ribosomal RNA", at positions 341 to 792 of the family's 1533-position model. The record is from RNAcentral. Lineage: Bacteria; Bacillati; Bacillota; Clostridia; Eubacteriales; Clostridiaceae.